GCCAAAGAGAGGUAAUUCUAGAGGAAUUAAUUUCAAUAAUUAUCACGUGAUAUGGAUGACGAUCACUUAUCUUUUGCACAGGUGUUUCUCGAGUAAGGACGGUUGGGGGUGAAGCCGGUCCUUCGAGGCCUAAGAAAGGUCCCGGAGGGUAUGAUCACGUUGAUCCUCCGGUCUUGAACGGAGAGGGUCCCUGCCCGUACUGCCACCUGUCACCGUGUGUCAGAGCCAGACCACCCAGCUGGCUGAUUGGAAGCGCUGCACCUAAUUUGGGGAAUAUGGUGAAGCGCUUCAAACUAUACCGCAAGUAUUGGACGCUGCUAGGUCAGUUGGGGGUAUGGAAUCACCCUCUAUAUAUGGCAUAUAAAGUGACCAAAACCAGUGCACAUGACAAGAGGGAUGUGAUGCCUGAUUGAGUAUUGAGAGAGGUGCGUGAACGAUUUCCGAAUCCAGAUGGAGUUCCAUACACUAUUGAUAAAGUCAUUACUGAAAAACAAAAACAAAACUAGCACAUAAGAAUUAAUUACCUCACCGUCCUGCGAGUAACCAGGUAAUGCCUUCACUUCGU
Long non-coding RNA from Halichondria panicea, 565 nucleotides. RefSeq lists it as uncharacterized. The transcript has 3 exons. The record is from RefSeq and is a predicted model, not a curated record. Lineage: Eukaryota; Metazoa; Porifera; Demospongiae; Suberitida; Halichondriidae.